GGUUCGAUUCUGGCUCAGAUUGAACGCUGGCGGGAUGCUUUACACAUGCAAGUCGAACGGCAGCACGGACUUCGGUCUGGUGGCGAGUGGCGAACGGGUGAGUAAUGUAUCGGAACGUGCCUAGUAGCGGGGAUAACUACGCUGAAAAGCGUAGCUAAUACCGCACACGCCCUUCGGGGGAAAGCGGGGGACCUUUCGUCUUCGCACUAUUAGAGCGGCCGAUAUCGGAUUAGCUAGUUGGUGGGGUAACGGCCACCAAGGCGACGAUCCGUAGCUGGUUUGAGAGGACGACCAACCACACUGGGACUGAGACAUUGCCCGAUUCCUACGGGAGGCAGCAGGGGGAAUUUGGACAAUGGGGGAAACCUGGAUCCAGCCAUCCUUGGCGUGCGAUGAAGGCCUUCGGGUUGUAAAGCACUUUUGGGCAGGAAAGAAACGGCACGGGAUAAUACCCGUGCAACUGACGGUACCUGCAGAAGCACCGGCUAACUACGCCAGCAGCCGCGGUACGUGGUGGGUGCAAGCGUUAAUCGGAAUUACUGGGCGUAAAGCGUGCGCAGGCGGUUCGGAAAGAAAGAUGUGGAAAUCCCAGAGCUUAACUUUGGAACUGCAUUUUUAACUACCGAGCUAGAGUGUGUCAGAGGAGGUGGAAUUCGCGUAGCAGUGAAAUGCGUAGAUAUGCGGAGGAACACCGAUGGCGAAGGCAGCCUCCUGGGAUAAAUACCGACGUCAUGCACGAAAGCGUGGGGGAGCAAACAGGAUUACGUCUGGUAGUCCACGCCCUAAACGAUGUCAACUAGCUGUUGGGGCCUUCGGGCCUUGGUAGCGCAGCUAACGUGAAGUUGACCGCCUGGGGAGUACGGUCGCAAGAUUAAAACUCAAAAGGAAUUGACGGGGACCCGCACAAGCGGUGGAUGAUGUGAUUAAUUCGAUGCAACGCGAAAAAAACCUUACCUACCCUUGGUGACAUGUCUGGAAUCCCGGAAGAGAUUUGGGAGUGCUCGCAAGAGAACCGAACACAGGUGCUGCAUGGCUGUCAGCUCGUGUCGUGAGAUGUUGGGUUAAGUCCCGCAACGAGCGCAACCCCUUGUCAUUAGUUGCUACGAAAGGCACUCAAUGAGACUGCCGAGACAAACCGGAGGAAGGUGGGGAUGAGUCGUCAAGUCCUCAUGGCCCUUAUGGGUAGGGCUUCACAUCGUCAUACAAUGGUCGGGACAGAGGGUCGCCAACCCGCGAGGGGGAGUCAAUCCCAGAAACCCGAUCAGUCCGGAUCGCAGUCUGCAACUCGACUGCGUGAAGUCGGAAUCGCUAGUAAUCGCGGAUCAGCAUGUCGCGGUGAAUACGUUCCCGGGUCUUGUACACACCGCCCGUCACACCAUGGGAGUGGGUUUUACCAGAAGUAGUUAAAGGCCUAACCGUAAGGAGGGCGAUUACCACGGUAGGAUUCAUGACUGGG
RNAcentral lists this ribosomal RNA (1456 nucleotides) under uncultured Bordetella sp. Its description in RNAcentral is "partial 16S-23S ribosomal RNA intergenic spacer". It matches the Rfam family "Bacterial small subunit ribosomal RNA". Lineage: Bacteria; Pseudomonadati; Pseudomonadota; Betaproteobacteria; Burkholderiales; Alcaligenaceae. The record is from RNAcentral.